Molecule: non-coding RNA, 229 nt
Filed under: Lactiplantibacillus plantarum
Lineage: Bacteria; Bacillati; Bacillota; Bacilli; Lactobacillales; Lactobacillaceae
Source: RNAcentral
UGAAAAGCUAUAAUGCUUUAAGGAGUAACUGACUUGUGAUGCUCAGAAAGCGCCGUUGCUGUGAAGGUGUGAUGACAAGUGAGUAAAAGUUAAAGGAUUGGCGUGAAUUUUACGAGAUUCACUGGUAGCACCCAUUAUUGUGCACGCGUUUAGUUGUUGUGAACGCGAUGAGUAGCCGGAUGUGAGUUCGGUUAGCAAUAAGGUGGUACCGCGCGUAAGCGCCCUUUGG